AGGAUGGAUUUUUGGAGUGGCUGACUUCCAGUGAAUUUGUUGCUUUGUCUCGAGAGGUUGAGAAGUUUAUCACUGAUUGUGAGACCAUUAGUGGUCGUCGCUGUAUGUCACUGCAUGAGAUUCUGUCUACAGUCACAGGCACUUAAAUUUGUGAACAGAUUUCAUGAAGAAAGACAGACUAAACUCAGCCUCAUUUUGGACAAU
Saccostrea cuccullata (small rock oyster) is the source of this 204-nucleotide long non-coding RNA. RefSeq lists it as uncharacterized. Lineage: Eukaryota; Metazoa; Mollusca; Bivalvia; Ostreida; Ostreidae. The record is from RefSeq and is a predicted model, not a curated record. The transcript has 3 exons.